Molecule: ribosomal RNA, 459 nt
Filed under: uncultured bacterium
Lineage: Bacteria
Description: partial 16S ribosomal RNA
Rfam family: Bacterial small subunit ribosomal RNA
Source: RNAcentral
CCUACGGGUGGCAGCAGUGAGGAAUAUUGGUCAAUGGGCGGGAGCCUGAACCAGCCAAGCCGCGUGAGGGAAGAAGGUACAGCGUAUCGUAACCCUCUUUUGUCAGGGAACAAAGGCGGGUACUCGUCCCCGGAUGAGGGUACCUGAAGAAAAAGCAUCGGCUAGCUCCGUGCCAGCAGCCGCGGUAAUCCGGAGGAUGCGAGCGUUAUCCGGAUGUAUGGGGUUUAAAGGGUGCGCAGGCGGCCUGUUAAGUCAGCGGUAAAAGCCCGGGGCCCAACCCCGGCGAGCGGUUGAAACUGGGGGGCUGGAGUGGGAGAGAAGUAGGCGGAAUGCGCGGUGUAGCGGUGAAAUGCUUAGAGAUCGGGCAGAACCCCGAUUGCGAAGGCAGCGUACCGGGUCCAAACUGACGCUGAGGCACGAAAGCGUGGGUAGCGAACAGGAUUAGAUACCCGUGUAGUC